AGUACAAUGGGUCUGCUCCAUAGAGUAAUACACAAUGUAUUACUAUAAGGUUAGUUAAUACCGCUAUAAUAUAAAUGGCGAAUUUGUAGAACAAUUUAUUUACAAUAAUAUUCUUGUAUUGUUGAGUUAAAUAUUAUCGAAUACGAAUCAGGGACCAAAACCUUGAAGAAUUGUACGGUUCCAGUUCCGGUUCGGUUCCUAGUAAUAAGUAAACCUACUGUUCUCGAGUAAUUUUUAGUAGUUUUGACAAAUCAAGUUAAACAAUCGAAGAAUUGUUAAUUUAUAUUGUUCCUUCAUCUUCUCACGUUGUGUCGAAAAAGACGAAUUCAUACACGAUACUUGGAGCCGAUGAAUAUAACUAGAGAAUUUUGGAAGAAUAUUUGUAUUUUUAAAGACAAACCAUCAUACAUAUGGUAUUUAUAACGAAUAUUUAGAGAAUAUAUUGCCUUUUUUGAACGAUAUGAAAACAUCAUAUGUUAAGGAUUUUAAGAGAAUAUUAAUCCUACCUCUAGAUAUAACCGAACGGUCCCACAACAUCUUGUGGUCUCAGUGUUCUGCGGUGUUCUUUUGCAGAAAAACAACGUAAGGAAGCCUUUUCACCGGGAGACUACGAGUGCUAGCAGUUUAUUCAGCAUCAUCAAUACACCGUCGUUUCUCAGGUAUAAGUUAUAAGUAUUCAUACGCGGCGCUGUAUAACAAAUAUUCUGAGUCGCGUCAGCAUUCUUCGAGAUACGUGACGAGAUGUCUCACGUUCAUAUGAAAAAAAAAAAGAAAAAAGAUGAUAGAAUGGAAAUGCUGAAAAGAGUUAUUUGAAUACAAACGUGGAGGCGCUUGAAAAUUCUGACGAGCACAACACACACAUCAGUUGUCCGGCGCCAUUAGAGGUAUUUGUUCUUCGCGUCAGCAGUUUCGGAGCUAAGAAUGUUAACAUUACGUGAAGACGUCGUGGGAUUCAUUUCUGACCCAGUAUCUAGGACGAGUAUCUAGUAAAAUGAAUUUAUUAUUAUUAGUUUAGAUAUAAUUAUAGCUUAUGUACGAUGUGUCAAAUACUGUAAGGGACUUAACCAUAUUAGAUUAAAACAAUUGUGCUUGUAAUACCCCACUCAUUAUAGGACCUGUAAAGAGGCUCGUAACACGCAAGUAAGAAUGUUCUUUUGCAAUCCCUACCUCCGCAUCCUCUGCCGUUGCCACCGAGCCACCAUUUACCCCCCCCCCCCCCCAACUUACAUCACCCAAGCCUGUUUUUGACAAUAACUAUGAUUAAACUUUUUAUUUAAUCACAAACUAGUACGUAUGUAUAACUACUAUGUAGUAGUUCGUGUACUCAACAAUGUUUUGAUUUGAUAAUACAUACGAUAACGCAUUUGAAAAAUAACGAAUAAUAAUAUUUAUAAUUAUUGUUCCUGCAAAGAACCAUUCAUGAAAUAACCGAUAUGAUUUGUGAUAGUACUAAAUGCAUGUGAUCACACUUUUUAUCCGCAGACACCCAUUCAUCCCGCACCACUUAAACUUUUGAUGCUCCAAUGUUAAUCGUGAACAUUUCUUUCCAACCAUUUAUUAACAUUUCGAAUUUUCGCAUCUUAUGUUUCUAAUUGUUCGUCUUCGUGGUCGCUAAUAUUGAACAUAAUCACGCAACGUUUAAUGGUCACUAGUGUCUGUUUUCACACUUUUAUGCCAUCAUCAUAUCGACCUUUCAAGGUCAUAAUAAGAAAUCUGCACCACACAACACUUAUAUCUGAUAUAUCUGAUGCACUUUCGGAGUUGGGUCACUCUAUCAGAUGUGUGACCAUUGUUAUUAAAAAAGGCCUUCCGUGGCUGCUAUUUCUCAUAGAGUUACUGUAACGUGAUCGGGGUGACUAAUUAGAUAUAAGAUUUUCAGGCAAGGUUUUCAGGUCCUUUUGAAUAUGUUUUACCGUAGCUUGGAAGCAUAGAUGUUAUUUGAGAUACAAAUAUUACAAAUAAAUGGAGAUUGGUUUAAUAGUAACUAUUGCAUAAAGGUUUAUUGAUACUUACAAAAUAUAAAUAUGGAGUUGUCCAGGAGUUCCUAUGCAUGAUGGUAGUCGUCGCGAACUCCCGACCCCCCCGUUAUUAGUAUUUGGCCGUAGCCUUACUAUAUUUAAUAUAGUAAAGCAGGGGGGGAACGUAAUUUCUUGUAAGCAUAUGUAACAAUUGUUACAUUACCCCCCCCCCCAUUUUUAAAUUAACAUAUUUUUA
This is a long non-coding RNA of Sipha flava (yellow sugarcane aphid), 2214 nucleotides long. RefSeq lists it as uncharacterized. The transcript has 4 exons. NCBI's taxonomy places the organism in Eukaryota, Metazoa, Arthropoda, Insecta, Hemiptera, Aphididae. The record is from RefSeq and is a predicted model, not a curated record.